RNAcentral lists this long non-coding RNA (209 nucleotides) under Nicotiana benthamiana. Its description in RNAcentral is "long non-coding RNA (NBEN_LNC032627)". The record is from RNAcentral. Lineage: Eukaryota; Viridiplantae; Streptophyta; Magnoliopsida; Solanales; Solanaceae.
GAGACACCCUCCACUCAUUGUGAAGCAAUGCUUUGGAAGUUUUAGUAUGUUUCAGAGAUUGGAUUAGAUUAGAACGAAGAAAUCAAGGAAAAGAAGAUAUUGAUAGCCCAGACGACGAGGAAAUUGAAGAUAUAUUAACACAUGGAAACUCAUCCGAAUUUAACACGCCAGAAGAAGGUCAAUCGGUUCAUAUUGAUUAUGAUGAACUU